This 546-nucleotide long non-coding RNA is filed under the name Pavo cristatus (Indian peafowl). RNAcentral's name for it is "lncRNA (ENSPSTG00000001133.1)". The record is from RNAcentral. Lineage: Eukaryota; Metazoa; Chordata; Aves; Galliformes; Phasianidae.
GAGAGGGCUGAUGGGACUUCUUGGUAACAAUACUGGAAAGGAAAAGGCUGUCAGGGCAGGCAUUGCCUCUACCUCACUAACAUCACCUCCAGCUGCAGGACAACAGGGGGUCCCUCUCUGCUACACCCAUAGGCAUUACCCCAAAUGCUGCACAGUUCUGCUGACUUCAGAUGGACCCGUUACUGAACUGGGUUUGAUGCUGAUGUCCAGCUGAAACUAAUCAAAAGUCCAGGCUCUUUGGACCCCAAUAGGACAAAACUCCUAAUGAAGAUGAAUGUAGGACAAUAGAGGGAAUGAAAGGGUAUCUGGUCUCAUCUACUCCGCAAGGUAGAUUUACACUCAAGAGAAUAAAAAUGAUUGAGUUGUGUCCUUUUUAAAUGUUAUCUUUCUAUCUCUCCUAUUUAGCGCAUCUCAGUGCUUUUUUCUGUUUCUUUAGAGCUCUACAUAAGAUGUCUUUGUGCGUUUCCUCCAAGAGCUGCCCUGGGAGAUCUAUGAAUUAAUCUCUCUCCUCACACCAAACCCAUGGCACAGAAAAUCUAUUUCUCC